Molecule: ribosomal RNA, 242 nt
Filed under: Clostridioides difficile
Lineage: Bacteria; Bacillati; Bacillota; Clostridia; Peptostreptococcales; Peptostreptococcaceae
Description: partial 16S ribosomal RNA
Rfam family: Bacterial small subunit ribosomal RNA
Source: RNAcentral
AUAAUGACGGUACUUGAGGAGGAAGCCCCGGCUAACUACGUGCCAGCAGCCGCGGUAAUACGUAGGGGGCUAGCGUUAUCCGGAUUUACUGGGCGUAAAGGGUGCGUAGGCGGUUUUUCAAGUCAGGCGUGAAAGGCUACGGCUCAACCGUAGUAAGCUCUUGAAACUGGGAGACUUGAGUGCAGGAGAGGAGAGUGGAAUUCCUAGUGUAGCGGUGAAAUGCGUAGAUAUUAGGAGGAACA